This 457-nucleotide ribosomal RNA is filed under the name uncultured bacterium. RNAcentral's name for it is "bacterial SSU rRNA". It matches the Rfam family "Bacterial small subunit ribosomal RNA", at positions 340 to 786 of the family's 1533-position model. The record is from RNAcentral.
UACGGAAGGCAGCAGUGGGGAAUAUUGCACAAUGGGCGCAAGCCUGAUGCAGCCAUGCCGCGUGUAUGAAAAAGGCCUUCGGGUUGUAAAGUACUUUCAGUCGUGAGGAAGGUGUUAAGGUUAAUAACCUUAGCAAUUGACGUUAGCGACAGAAGAAGCACCGGCUAACUCCGUGCCAGCAGCCGCGGUAAUACGGAGGGUGCGAGCGUUAAUCGGAAUUACUGGGCGUAAAGGGCACGCAGGCGGUUAAUUAAGUUGGAUGUGAAAUCCCCGGGCUUAAACCUGGGAAUGGCAUUCAAGACUGGUUAGCUAGAGUCUUGUAGAGGGGGGUAGAAUUCCAUGUGUAGCGGUGAAAUGCGUAGAGAUGUGGAGGAAUACCGGUGGCGAAGGCGGCCCCUGGACAAAGACUGACGCUCAUGUGCGAAAAGCGUGGGGAGCAAAACAGGGAUUAGAUACC